AUGAACGCUGGCGGCAUGCCUAACACAUACAAGUCGAUCGGUAAGGCUCUUCGGAGUACACGAGAGGCGGACGGCUGAGUAACGCGUAGGAACACACCCUGCAGUGAGGGAUAAGACACCGAAAGGUGUUCUAAUACCGCAUACGGUCUUCGGAUUAAAGCAUUUAUGCGCUGAAGGAGUGGCCUGCGUCAUAUUAGAUAGUUGGUGAGGUAAUGGCUCACCAAGUCGAUGAUGUGUAGCUGGUCUGAGAGGAUGAUCAGCCAGACUGGAACUGAGACACGGUCCAGACUCCUACGGGAGGCAGCAGUGAGGAAUAUUUCACAAUGAGCGAAAGCUUGAUGGAGCAAUGCCGCGUGCAGGAUGAAGGCCCUCGGGUUGUAAACUGCUUUUAUAAGAGAAGAUUAUGACGGUAACUUAUGAAUAAGGGACGGCUAACUACGUG
This 442-nucleotide ribosomal RNA is filed under the name uncultured bacterium. RNAcentral describes it as "partial 16S ribosomal RNA". It matches the Rfam family "Bacterial small subunit ribosomal RNA", at positions 29 to 507 of the family's 1533-position model. The record is from RNAcentral.